Molecule: unclassified non-coding RNA, 453 nt
Filed under: Hevea brasiliensis (rubber tree)
Lineage: Eukaryota; Viridiplantae; Streptophyta; Magnoliopsida; Malpighiales; Euphorbiaceae
Source: RNAcentral
GCCAAAAGAAGGGGUGCAAGGAGGACAUAAACACGACGACAUUCAGUUGACAAAAGAAAGUAGUAACUGGCUGACCUCUGAAGAGAUUUGAUUAGUUGCAAUGAGAGUUAUGUAUCGGGCGGGAAAAUGGUUAGCUUGAAUCCAGUACAUACACUUUGGGAUUCUAUUUUCUGGGCAGAUUUAACCGUUGAUUUGGUUGUAUUCACCAGUUCCAUCAUUUUCAGGUUGCUUAUGUUGGCAAAGUUUAUAGGGAUUUCCUCAAGCUUAUUUAAAUUACGAAGGACAAGCCUCUCUAAGCUCGGAAAAUUCUCAUCACAACCCUUCCAAUAAACUAGUUCUGACCUUUCAAUCCAUAAUACCUUAAGACAAGGAAACACGUAAUCCUUCUUCAACUCCCAAGAAUCCCCCCUAAAUGCAUUCUCUUUCACCUUCAACACUUCAAGAAGCUCCAAA